RNAcentral lists this small nuclear RNA (21 nucleotides) under Arabidopsis thaliana (thale cress). Its description in RNAcentral is "snRNA_17204". The record is from RNAcentral. Lineage: Eukaryota; Viridiplantae; Streptophyta; Magnoliopsida; Brassicales; Brassicaceae.
GAUCCGCCUAGGCUGUCCCGA